Molecule: ribosomal RNA, 468 nt
Filed under: uncultured bacterium
Lineage: Bacteria
Description: partial 16S ribosomal RNA
Rfam family: Bacterial small subunit ribosomal RNA
Source: RNAcentral
GACGAACGCUGGCGGCGUGCUUAACACAUGCCAGUCGAACGGAAAGGCCCUGCUUUUGUGGGGUGCUCGAGUGGCGAACGGGUGAGUAACACGUGAGUAACCUGCCCUUGACUUUGGGAUAACUUCAGGAAACUGGGGCUAAUACCGGAUAGGAGCUCCUGCUGCAUGGGGGGGGUUGGAAAGUUUCGGCGGUUGGGGAUGGACUCGCGGGUUAUCAGCUUGUUGGUGGGGUAGUGGCUUACCAAGGCUUUGAAGGGUAGCCGGCCUGAGAGGCUGACCGGCCACAUUGGGACUGAGAUAGGGCCCAGACUCCUACGGGAGGCAGCAGGGGGGAAUAUUGCACAAUGGGCGGAAGCCUGAUGCAGCAAUGCCGCGUGCGGGAUGACGGCCUUCGGGUUGUAAACAGCUUUCGCCGGUGCCGAAGAGUGAGUGACGGUAAUGGGUAAAGAAGCACCGGCUAACUACGUG